RNAcentral lists this transfer RNA (85 nucleotides) under Candidatus Parvarchaeum acidiphilum ARMAN-4. It matches the Rfam family "tRNA". From Rfam's summary of the family: Transfer RNA (tRNA) molecules are approximately 80 nucleotides in length. Their secondary structure includes four short double-helical elements and three loops (D, anti-codon, and T loops). The record is from Rfam by way of RNAcentral. RNAcentral also lists the same sequence under 3 other names. Lineage: Archaea; Nanobdellati; Candidatus Parvarchaeota.
GCAGAGAUAGCGAAGCUCGGUCAAACGUGCUGGCUUCAGGGGCCAGUGGCUUAGGCCUUCGGGGGUUCAAAUCCCCCUCUCUGCA